GCCUCAGUAGCGGAGUGGAUAACGCACGAGCCCUGGACAGGUGCAAGAAGCGGGCUCGAAUCCCGCCUGAGCCG
This 74-nucleotide transfer RNA is filed under the name Nippostrongylus brasiliensis. It matches the Rfam family "tRNA". Rfam says of the family: Transfer RNA (tRNA) molecules are approximately 80 nucleotides in length. Their secondary structure includes four short double-helical elements and three loops (D, anti-codon, and T loops). Lineage: Eukaryota; Metazoa; Nematoda; Chromadorea; Rhabditida; Heligmosomidae. The record is from Rfam by way of RNAcentral.